UCCCCUGCUGACGGAGAGCAAAGCAGAGAUCAUCCUGUCCCUCUUCUCUUCUGGCAGGCUGCACGGGCAGAGAGAGAGAGAGGGGGAGAGAGAGAGAGAAGCAGAGAAUGAAGCUCCAUGCGAAACUAAAAUAGCUUAAAUCUGAACCAAAUUACAUUAUCAGAGGGGGAGGGUUUUCAGGGGAAGUGUCCGAUCCAGGGAGUGACGUUCGCUCUCGCAGUGCAGCAGCAGCAGCGAGGAGGGAUCCAAACAAACAUUAUCCAGGAUGGGGAACCGGGGCAUGGAAGACUUGAUCCCUCUGGUCAAUCGCAUGCAAGAUGCCUUCUCAGCCAUCGGCCAGAACGCCAACCUGGACCUUCCCCAGAUCGCCGUGGUUGGUGGUCAGAGCGCAGGGAAGAGCUCAGUGCUGGAGAACUUCGUGGGAAAGGACUUCCUCCCCCGUGGUUCUGGCAUCGUCACCCGCCGCCCUCUGGUCCUGCAGCUCAUCAACUGCCCCACAGAAUAUGCUGAGUUUUUGCACUGCAAGGGGAAGAAGUUCACUGAUUUCGAUGAAGUGCGUCAGGAGAUCGAGGCAGAGACAGAUCGCGUCACCGGACAGAAUAAAGGCAUCUCUCCGGUGCCAAUUAACCUGCGUGUUUACUCCCCUAAUGUACUGAACCUGACUCUGGUGGACCUGCCGGGGAUGACCAAAGUGCCGGUGGGUGACCAACCGGCGGACAUUGAGCACCAAAUCAAGGACAUGCUCAUGCAGUUUGUCACUAAGGAGAACUGCCUGCUGCUGGCUGUGUCUCCUGCCAACUCUGAUCUCGCUAACUCUGAUGCUCUGAAGGUUGCCAAAGAAGUCGACCCGCAAGGUCUGCGCACCAUCGGUGUGAUUACCAAGCUGGAUCUGAUGGACGAAGGAACAGACGCUCGUGAUAUUCUAGAGAACAAGCUGCUGCCACUGCGCAGAGGCUAUAUCGGUGUGGUGAAUCGCAGUCAGAAAGACAUUGAUGGGAAGAAGGACAUUAACGCUGCGAUGGCGGCAGAGAGGAAAUUUUUCCUGUCACAUCCAGCCUACAGACACCUUGCAGACCGCAUGGGAACUCCUUACCUGCAGAAAGCGCUCAACCAGCAACUGACCAAUCACAUCCGUGACACGCUGCCAGGGCUGCGCAGUAAGCUCCAGAGCCAGCUGCUGUCCAUUGAGAAAGAGGUGGACGAGUACAAGAACUUCCGCCCGGACGACCCGUCUCGCAAGACCAAGGCCCUACUGCAGAUGGUGCAGCAGUUCUCUGUGGAUUUUGAGAAGCGCAUCGAAGGAUCCGGUGACCAGAUUGACACUUAUGAGCUCUCAGGGGGUGCCAGGAUCAAUCGCAUCUUCCACGAGCGCUUCCCUUUCGAACUGGUCAAGAUGGAGUUUGACGAGAAGGAGCUACGCAAGGAGAUCAGCUACGCCAUCAAGAACAUUCACGGCAUCAGGACGGGCCUGUUUACCCCUGACCUGGCCUUCGAGGCCAUAGUGAAAAAGCAGAUCCAAAAGCUGAAGUCUCCCACGCUGAAGUGUAUAGAUAUGGUAGUGAGUGAACUGACCUCCACCAUACGAAAGUGUAGCGAAAAGCUGGCCCAGUACCCCAUGCUGCGAGAGGAGAUGGAGCGAAUCGUCACGCAGCAUAUCCGCGACCGUGAGAGCCGCACCAAGGACCAGGUGAUGCUGCUUAUUGACAUUGAACUGGCCUACAUGAACACCAACCAUGAAGACUUUAUUGGAUUUGCCAAUGCCCAGCAGAGAAGCAGCCAGAUGAGCAAGAAGAAAGCAGCUGGCAACCAGGGCCAGGACGAGAUCAUGGUCAUCAGGAAGGGCUGGCUGACCAUCAACAACAUUGGCAUCAUGAAGGGAGGAGCUAAGGAGUACUGGUUUGUGCUGACGGCCGAAUCGCUGUCCUGGUACAAAGAUGAUGAGGAGAAAGAGAAGAAGUACAUGUUGCAGGUGGACAACCUGAAGCUGAGAGAUGUGGAGAAGAGCUUCAUGUCCAGCAAGCACAUCUUCGCCCUGUUCAACACUGAGCAGAGGAAUGUCUAUAAGGACUACCGUCAGCUGGAGUUGGCCUGUGAGAGUCAGGAGGAAGUGGACGGCUGGAAGGCCUCUUUCCUGCGAGCUGGUGUUUACCCAGAGCGCGUGGUGGAGAAGGAUAAGAGCGACACCAGUGAAGAGAACGGCUCGGACGGCUUCAUGCACUCCAUGGACCCUCAGCUGGAGAGGCAGGUGGAAACCAUCCGCAACCUGGUGGACUCCUACAUGGGCAUCGUCAACAAGACCAUCCGCGACCUCAUGCCCAAGACCAUCAUGCACCUCAUGAUCAACAAUACUAAAGAGUUCAUCAACGCAGAGUUGCUGGCUCAGCUGUAUUCGUGUGGAGAUCAGAACACUCUGAUGGAGGAGUCGGCAGAGCAGGCCCAGCACAGGGAUGAGAUGCUGAGGAUGUACCACGCGCUCAAAGAGGCGCUCAACAUCAUCGGAGACAUCAGCACCACCACUGUCUCCACCUCCCUGCCACCACCUGUGGACGACUCCUGGCUACAGGUGCAGCGUACCGGCUCUGGAGGAAGAUCUCCAGCCACCAGUCCCACUCCUCAGAGACGGGCCCCUCCUCCAGGACCUCCAGCUCGCCCCAGUUCUCGUGGCUCCGCCCCUGGGCCCCCUGCUGCAGGGGGGCCGCCUGUGCCCUCUCGCCCUGGGGCCUCUCCCGACCCAUUCGGAGGUCCACCACCUCAGGUCCCAUCCCGCCCUAACCGCGCACCCCCAAGCGUGCCCAGCCGAGGAGUGUGAGACACCUCCGAGUGGAGCGGUGUGGAAUUACAAUCAGUGACCAGUGAGGACCACCGCGUCUGCGGUCCUUGAAGUCACAGGCCGGAAGACGACAUCCAGCUAUCGUGAAGGCUGGCCAAACAAGGGCAGCCCUUCACGCCCUGAAAGCCCUCUUCCUCCAUCCGAAUCCUAACCGCCCCAAUCCCUCCUUCCCAUCUCCUCCUUCUUCUCUUUCUGUGACUUAACUCUUGGACCCCCUCCGUGUUCAGCAGCAAGCAAACCUAAACCAAACCCCACCAGCACAACCGACAGGACAGUGGGGAGGCAGAGAGAGAGAGAGAGAGAGAGAGAGAGAGAGAGAGAGAGAGAGAGAUGGACACCCCUCCUGUAUCUUCUCCUCUCUUCUGGACCUACUGAAGGAGAGAUGCUUUCCUCUUGAUGAGGAGGAGAAGGAAGACCACCAGUGCACAGUGGGAGAUGUGUUUGUUGUGUUCGUCUCUGUCCCAAACCCAAACUGAUGUAAUGUGUGUCACCAACUUCUGAACAGUGUAGGUGUUUAAUCCUCUGGUAGAAAUAGACUGAGUGAUGCAACUGAACCUCUGUAGCUCUGAAUUUCCUCAUAUAUUCAUAAAUUCAUUUCCAUCUUCACCACCAGUGAAAGGAAUACUUCAGCGUUUUUCUACCACAGUGAUGUUCCUCCAUACCAGGGGUCGGCAACAUGGAGCUCUGGAGCCACAUGCGGCUCGUUUACUGCCCUGUCGUGGCUCCACAGCUGAAUCAGAUCAGUAGGUAAUAAUAAAAUAAUCCUCCUUUAAAUAAAAAUAGUAAAAUAAAGCUCUGCUGAUCCUUCAACACAGUUUAACAGUAAACGGUCUUAAACGCUGGACUUAAUGUAGAUCUGCUGAUUCACCCUUUAUCCCUGAAGAUCAGCUCAGACCGAUGGUCACCAUAGCAACACAGACAACAGUCCCGCCCAGCUAGCAGCUAAAAAGAUGGCAAAGAGAGAGAUUUAAGACGAACAAAGUAAUCUGGACACUAAUGGACUCCAGCUGGUUACAAGGAGAAACUGUCUAACGCUAAAAAGUCACGAAGCUGAAGUCUCGUUCAAAUUACCCCGUUCCACCUUAAACGGUGCUGCAGUUACAUUCCAGCUUCUCAAACGCCAUUUAAGGCGGAAUUGAAAAAUUCGAACAAGAAGCUGGCAAUUGAGAAGCGACUUCAGCCUCGUAUAAAGGUUUUUUUGUGGAAAGGUUUCCUGCUGGAGAUGUGAGAAAAGUGGCUAUAGCUGGGAUGUAAUAUUUCAAGGUCUACUUCAAGUUGCUAUAUUUGUUUUGGCAUAUUUCGAAUAAACAAUGUCCAGUCCGAUGUUUUAACGUGGCCCUUUUAGUGGUUGAGUUUUGACACCCCUGGCCUGAGGAUGACCAACACAAACCGAGCAGCAACAGAUGAGCUGAUAUCUCUGACUUUACAACUACAAGGUGGACCAAGAAGGUAGGAGUGUCUAACAGAGUGGACAGCGAGUCCUGUGAGGAUUUUAGCAUCACACCUAAUUUUUCGCUGCUGUGGGAAGAAAACCUCGUAUCUCCAUUUUCAGUUUUUGUCGUGAUUUGAAAAUUUCUGUUGUUUUUAACUCUGUGUGAAAAUUUAAUGAAGAAUGGUCCAAAAGAAACGGCCCAAAAUGACUGGAACAAAACUCUGGUUCCAUUGACUUCCAUUCAAAGUAAAGGAGGUUUUUUCCUCCUCCUGUAAAGUUACAGUUUUGGACAUAUGAGGUUUUCUUCCGGCAUCAAUUGUAAUCGACUGUACAGCAGACAGAGGUUAUGGACAAUGCUGAAGUAUUCCUUAAGCAGCCAUCUCUUCUCGCCUGAACAUCAUUGACCCAUUGGUGGAGGUUUUAGCUGCGAAUGUGCGUUUACCCUUCGGACACGUCUCCACAUUUCCACGUAGUGAAAACAGUAUCUUUAGCGAGGCGGGAUCUAUAUAGAAAGUGCAAUACGUCCAGAGGUCGGCCCUUUUAUGGUCCGGCCACCUUUCACGCCAUUUAACCCCCUGUAGGCCUGAAGUUUGUGAAGGUGAGCGUACGUCUAGUUUAUGUGGCUCUUGCUGAAUCCGGAUCAUCCAACACAGUGUUGGCUGUGCAAACAAAGCUGAAGACUGUUGAAAGUCAUGUUGGCCAUCUCCCCACAUUAGACUCGUUUCUUUUGCGCCGCAAUCAGGCUCAAGAUGAGGUCAUCAGCGUCCGUCAUGGAUGCUUAACUUAAGUCCAGUCUAUAUCGUGAUGUUUAUGCAAACUCGUCUCGAACCUUAUUUUGCCUGUUUGUAAUUUAUAGUGAACUUCAGGUUUUCAUGGAAGCCCUUUUCCACCACUUAAACGGAGUCAUCAUAACAAUGAGAAGGUUUCUCUUAAUUAUGGAUCUCAUAAAUACUACUUAGCAUCUCAUAACGAGGGCAUUAUCUCAUAGUUAUGAGUCGCUAAGUAAUUAAGACAUACUAAGUCGUAAUUAUGAUUUAGUAUCUCAAAAAGAUCUAAGCUCAUUAUAAGUCAUUAUUAUUAUUAUUAGGUGUUAAGUCAUAAUUGAGAUAGUACCUCAGUUAUGACCUUACUAUCUCGUAGUUAUGACGCAACGCAGUAAGUCAAUUAUGAGACGAUCUCACUGAGACAGCAAGUUAUAAUAAUGGGAUACUAGGUCAUAAUUGUGAGACAUAAUUAGGAAAAAGGAUAUUUUUAUGACAUCACAAUUAUGUAUCUCAUUAUUGUGAGAUAGCAAGUAGUAAUUAUGAGAUAUUUAUGAGAUGGUACCUCUGUUAUGAGAUGCCGAGUCAUUAUUAUGGGAAACGUCAUUUUUAUGACUAUAAAAAUAAGAUUAUAAGUCAUAAUUAGGAGAAAAGAUUAUGACAUCACAAUUGUGAACAUGUAUCUCAUUAUUGUGAGGUGCCAAGUCAAAUUAUGAGAUACUAAGUCGUUAUUAUGGGAACCUUUUCAUUUCUAUGACUUUCUAAAUGGCGAUUUUUUUUCCCUGGUGGCAGAAAUGGGCAUUCAUUGGUUUUAAGAAAUGGGCUUAUAUAUGAAUAUAUAAAUAUGUAUCACUUUUGGUCUAUGCAUAGAGAUCAUGAUCGUUUGGUCCAACGUUAUCAGCUCUGUUCUUAAAUAAAACAAUCAAAGCCCUUGAUAAAAAGAGUGGGCCGUGCGUUUGUUUGUUUGUUGUUGUUAUAAUAAGCCUGUUUGUACUCGUACCUGUUGGGCAUGCCAACACAACCCUCAGUGGGUACCACUGUGCCGUACCAAGGCAAUAGUAACAGUAACGUUUUCCCAAAUUGUCCUCAUUUCUUGCCGCCCCAAACGCAGCACCUUUCACCUUUCCCUUCAAACUGAGUCUCUCAGAGUCUUAGAAAAGAAUUUAUUAUUUCGGAGUAAAUAGUUUAUCAUGGACAUAUCUUAAGUGUUACGUAUCUUCGUGGUGCAUUUAUGGAAAUUGUGCUUCCACUGUUUAGAGACUAGUGUAGUCCACAUGUAUGAUGACUGAAUAUUAAAUUAUUAUGGGUGAAUAUUAAUCAAGCAUCUGAAAACAAGGGAGAAAAUAUGAUUGGGAGGGGAAACGGGACCUCUGUUGCUGAAAUGUACGUAUUCACAGAGAACGUGAGUAUGUAGAGUGCGAGAAAGACGCCAAUGUGUGCUUCGGUCCUGUAACUUCUACUGUUGGGUGAACGAUUUCGGUCCAGCAGGACCUGCUUUUACUUCAAGACAAUAAAAUUCAGUGUACCAAAACCGCA
This is an RNA transcript of Pygocentrus nattereri (red-bellied piranha), 6559 nucleotides long. It is a transcript of the gene named dynamin 1a, with no coding region annotated. The record is from RefSeq and is a predicted model, not a curated record. The transcript has 26 exons. NCBI's taxonomy places the organism in Eukaryota, Metazoa, Chordata, Actinopteri, Characiformes, Serrasalmidae.